UACGUAGGUGGCAAGCGUUGUCCGGAAUUAUUGGGCGUAAAGCGCGCGCAGGUGGUUUCUUAAGUCUGAUGUGAAAGCCCACGGCUCAACCGUGGAGGGUCAUUGGAAACUGGGGAACUUGAGUGCAGGAGAGAAGAGUGGAAUUGCACGUGUAGCGGUGAAAUGCGUAGAGAUGUGGAGGAACACCAGUGGCGAAGGCGGCUCUCUGGGACGGUACUGACGCUGAGACGCGAAAGCGUGGGGAGCGAACAGG
Molecule: ribosomal RNA, 253 nt
Filed under: uncultured bacterium
Lineage: Bacteria
Description: partial 16S ribosomal RNA
Rfam family: Bacterial small subunit ribosomal RNA
Source: RNAcentral